GUCCAUAACAUCAGAGGUUAGACCAUCUUUUUAAAUAUUUUAUAUGUUUGAACACAAGUCGUAUGGGUUUUUGAAACAAACAGUGUAAGAUAUGAACAAUUCAGUGGUUGUUUUGUUUCCAUUGUUAUGUGUACUGAUCAGGUUUUAUUAAACUAUUCAAUGUUUUAAAUCUAAAUGAGAGUUUAUGAUCUUAGCAGCGUUUGUUUGUCUGACUCAAGUGUGGGCCCUUCCAGCGGCAUAUCUCAAAAUAGGCUCCAAGCGUGAGCGUGUUAGGAUAUCUGCUUGAUAUAGAUUUUUUACUUUUUUUUUCAUUUUGUAGCUAUUUUUAACACUAGUUGACUGCGGUAUUAUAGGCCUACUUACACAGUAUUUAAACCGCAAUUUUUAUUACAAAAACAUAUUUCUUUAAACUUAGCAGAAUAAAGGCGUUUGAUAGUAAAUGUAGAUGGUGCGACAAGGCACAGUUUGUAAUAUCAGAUUAAUUUGUUAAUUAUUAAUUUGUUGCUAUCAACUCGCAACUACAUUCGAAUAUAAAGAUUAUAUAUUACUUUAGACAGGCUUGAAUAUUAUAUGAAUUUUUUUUCUUUAAUUUCAGAAUUUUGUGUUGUAUGAUCCACAACUGGAUAGUACUUUCUCUACCACUUCAGAGGACAUUGAUAUGCUGUACAAUCCAGACAGCAUGAUAAACCUGCCUGCCACGGUUGGAAUUUCAAGGCCUGCGGAAUGUAGCAUGUCAUCAUCUACAUCAACUAUCUUAUUGCCACCCACCAACAACGUCACUGCUGCAGCCACUGAAGAAAGCGAUGACCAAACACCCACUGUUGAGGAGCACCAUCAGACUUACAAUUCUACCUACAG
Molecule: long non-coding RNA, 858 nt
Organism: Anneissia japonica
Lineage: Eukaryota; Metazoa; Echinodermata; Crinoidea; Comatulida; Comatulidae
Exons: 3
Source: RefSeq, a predicted model, not a curated record